UCCCCUGGAAAGGAAGAGACAGCAGACCAGCUGGGGUCCCCACCUGAAGCUUGGGUUUCUCUCCUCUUCCAG
Molecule: microRNA precursor, 72 nt
Filed under: Mus pahari (shrew mouse)
Lineage: Eukaryota; Metazoa; Chordata; Mammalia; Rodentia; Muridae
Description: microRNA 7027 (MGP_PahariEiJ_G0007270.1)
Source: RNAcentral